Solea solea (common sole) is the source of this 1053-nucleotide long non-coding RNA. RefSeq lists it as uncharacterized. The record is from RefSeq and is a predicted model, not a curated record. The transcript has 4 exons. Lineage: Eukaryota; Metazoa; Chordata; Actinopteri; Pleuronectiformes; Soleidae.
UAUUCCAGAAAGCAGGUUCAACACACUCUGAGUCUAUCCCUGAACUCUGAGUUGACUUACUCUGAGUCGGGAAACUCUGAGUAUCCGGUUCCAGAACAGCUGAUCAGAGUUAGUUCAAUCAACUCUGAGUACGUUAACCUCGAGGUACGCGCGUGCACAACCACUAUAAAAAGCCAUCAUCAAUGGAGCCCCGAUACCACGAGUCACCAUGACAACCGAGACCAAAAAAAAAAGAUCAAGUUAUUUCAGUGAGAAGGAGUUGGAGAUCCUUAUGCUGGCCUACGGCGAAUACGAGCACAUAUUUCGCCGCAAGUGUAACACAGCUGCAGCAGCGAAGGAGAGAGAGACCGCAUGGGAGAGAAUUGCUGCCCGAGUCAACGCGUAAGUUUGAAUGUACUAUUCCAUUGACGUAACAUUUAACCGUAAGAUCGUAGCAUAGUCUAUAGUUAUGAAUAUAAGUAGGAAUGAAAUCUGAGUUUUUCAUUUAGGUGCAAUCCAACAGGAGAAAAGAGGACUUGGAAGCAGCUAAAAAUGAAACAUAAAAACAUCAUUCAACAAGCGAACAGAAAGAAGGCAGAGGCCCGAAAAACGGGUGGAGGGCCACCUCCACCACCUCUGACAGAGGCUGAGGAGCUGGCUCUCAGCCAAUACAGCGGUCGCCCUGUGGCUGAAGGCAUCCCCGGGGGAAGCUCAUCUGAGCCUGUCACCCCCCAGGACACAAGUGCCUACAUCAGAUGCAAUUGUGGAUGGUGUCAUCUGCCUGGUUCAGCCGACUGAAACAACUGUUAACCCUGCAGCUGAGGAGGAGGAGGAGGAGGAUGAUGAUGAUGAUGAUGAGGAAACGCUGUCUGCUGCCACAGGGAGAGAUCCGGAGGGGACUACUGAAGUGUGUCUUAAUAUCAUGUAUAGCUACUGGCACUGCUCUACCCAUUCAUAUUCAUUUACAUUCUUGAGUGGAAUUUGUUGUUUGACAUGUACACUGAAGUGAUGAGCAUAGAUAAUGGACAAACUAGCACAUUCUUGUCCUUCAACAGAACAUGGCUGGGCAUCACC